GUCGAACGGUAACAGGAAGCAGCUUGCUGCUUCGCUGACGAGUGGCGGACGGGUGAGUAAUGUCUGGGAAACUGCCUGAUGGAGGGGGAUAACUACUGGAAACGGUGGCUAAUACCGCAUAACGUCGCAAGACCAAAGAGGGGGACCUUCGGGCCUCUUGCCAUCAGAUGUGCCCAGAUGGGAUUAGCUUGUUGGUGAGGUAACGGCUCACCAAGGCGACGAUCCCUAGCUGGUCUGAGAGGAUGACCAGCCACACUGGAACUGAGACACGGUCCAGACUCCUACGGGAGGCAGCAGUGGGGAAUAUUGCACAAUGGGCGCAAGCCUGAUGCAGCCAUGCCGCGUGUAUGAAGAAGGCCUUCGGGUUGUAAAGUACUUUCAGCGGGGAGG
RNAcentral lists this ribosomal RNA (390 nucleotides) under Salmonella enterica subsp. enterica serovar Mbandaka. RNAcentral describes it as "bacterial SSU rRNA". It matches the Rfam family "Bacterial small subunit ribosomal RNA", at positions 61 to 447 of the family's 1533-position model. The record is from RNAcentral. Lineage: Bacteria; Pseudomonadati; Pseudomonadota; Gammaproteobacteria; Enterobacterales; Enterobacteriaceae.